This 238-nucleotide long non-coding RNA is filed under the name Setaria viridis. RNAcentral's name for it is "long non-coding RNA (SVIR_LNC000385)". The record is from RNAcentral. Lineage: Eukaryota; Viridiplantae; Streptophyta; Magnoliopsida; Poales; Poaceae.
GCACAGAUCGAGUCUAAUUCACGACACGAAUCUAUUAAGCCUAAUUAGUCCAUGUUUUGACAAUGUGGUGCUACAGUAACCAUUUGUUAAUGAUGGAUUAAUUAGGCUUAAUAGAUUCAUCUCGCGAAUUAGCACAGGGUUCUGCAAUUAGUUUUAUAAUUAGCUCAUGUUUAGUCCUCCUAAUUAGCAUUUGAACAUCCGAUGUGACACUGCUAAAGUUUAGCACCUAGUAUCCAAA